UCUCUCUUCUUCCUGCUCCAUUGUUAAAGAUAUGGCUUCAAUUCCAUUCCCUCCCCUUUUCCCUUGAACGGGAAAUCUGAGACCCAUAACUUAAGAAUCACGUCACCCCUCUCCUUGGCUUGCCGCUCUCCUUAUCUCCCGGUGAUUCAUUCUCCUUAUUGGAUUGUAUUUGGAUGCUGUUAAUCAGUUUGGUGGAGGAGUUGUUCCACAGCCUCAGGAAGAACAGAGGAAUGUUUUUGAAAUAAGUGUGUAGCUAAGCAUACCAGCAAAUCAAAAGGUUUUUUGAGACAGAGGGGUGCUCUGGCUAUUCCAAUAGUUUCGGUAGUGCUGGCAUUGGUACUAAUCAUUGUGUUUGCCUACUGGCGGCGUAAGAAAAAGAGCAAAACAAAAGACUGUGUGGAGAUAGAUGAACUUGAGGAAGCUAGGAGACACCCCAAGUUGCAAUAUUUCGGUCUGAGCACCAUUAUAGCAGCCAAACAAGUGCCAAUGUCAUUACAUUUGAUAAUUCAAAUCAAAUUAGUAAAGGUCAAGCCAAAUUUCAAAAAAACAGACAAGGCAAUAUUGUGGAAU
Long non-coding RNA from Pyrus x bretschneideri (Chinese white pear), 570 nucleotides. RefSeq lists it as uncharacterized. NCBI's taxonomy places the organism in Eukaryota, Viridiplantae, Streptophyta, Magnoliopsida, Rosales, Rosaceae. The transcript is spliced from 5 exons. The record is from RefSeq and is a predicted model, not a curated record.